RNAcentral lists this ribosomal RNA (468 nucleotides) under uncultured bacterium. RNAcentral describes it as "partial 16S ribosomal RNA". It matches the Rfam family "Bacterial small subunit ribosomal RNA", at positions 28 to 507 of the family's 1533-position model. The record is from RNAcentral.
GACGAACGCUGGCGGCGUGCUUAACACAUGCAAGUCGAACGGAAAGGCCCUGCUUUUGUGGGGUGCUCGAGUGGCGAACGGGUGAGUAACACGUGAGUAACCUGCCCUUGACUUUGGGAUAACUUCAGGAAACUGGGGCUAAUACCGGAUAGGAGCUCCUGCUGCAUGGUGGGGGUUGGAGAGUUUCGGCGGUUGGGGAUGGACUCGCGGCUUAUCAGCUUGUUGGUGGGGUAGUGGCUUACCAAGGCCUUGACGGGUAGCCGGCCUGAGAGGGUGACCGGCCACAUUGGGACUGAGAUACGGCCCAGACUCCUACGGGAGGCAGCAGUGGGGAAUAUUGCACAAUGGGCGGAAGCCUGAUGCAGCAACGCCGCGUGCGGGAUGACGGCCUUCGGGUUGUAAACCGCUUUCGCCUGUGACGAAGCGUGAGUGACGGUAAUGGGUAAAGAAGCACCGGCUAACUACGUG